Acanthochromis polyacanthus (spiny chromis) is the source of this 1774-nucleotide long non-coding RNA. RefSeq lists it as uncharacterized. Lineage: Eukaryota; Metazoa; Chordata; Actinopteri; Pomacentridae. The record is from RefSeq and is a predicted model, not a curated record. The transcript is spliced from 2 exons.
AUGUAGUCCUUUGUAAUCGUAAUAAUAUUACAGGGAAUAACUAUUUAGAGGAAAUCUCGCGGGGGAGAAGCGCUCGUGGCAGCAGCUUAAGAUGAAAUAUAAAAACACUGUUCAAACAGGUCAGACCUCGGCAUUAUCUCAUGGAGGUACUUCAUGUUGAUCAUGUUUUACAUUGUAAAGUAGCCUAAAUAUUAAGUGGCUGUUUGACUGUGCAGUUGUUUUAUCCACACAUGGCCUAAAUGUCUGCAUCCAUAUCAUGUUCUGUUAAAUAAUUGAGCCUAUUCAAACUAACACAGACUUCUGCUCAGCCAACAGAAAGAAAGCAGAUGCCUGUAAAUCAGGUGGUAUAAAAGGUCAUGGAUGUGUAUGUGUGUGUGUGUGUGUGUGUGUAUAUAUAUAUAUAUAUGAUUAUUUAGUUCUCUUUUGUGUCUUUUUUGUCUUUUGGCCCCUUCACACCACAGACCUUGUAACUGUAAGUAGGCAACACUCCAAAGAUUUAUCCAAAUGGUAGUUUAAGUUUUAUACAGAGAGCAUGGCUGGACAGCAGCAGGAUGGUCCCUCAGCUUCCACUGCACAGACUGACACAGUGAGAUGGAUGUUCAGGAAACACCAGAGAUUCAUUCUGUGGAAUUCAUGUGCAACUGUAUAAUUGAAUGUCAAAGUACAAGUUAGAGGUGGUGAUGGUCACAGGUGAAUUAUGUUAACUAUUGGAACAUUAACUGAACUAUCUUUUAUUUGUAGGAAAUAAAGAAGACCAAAUGAAAUGUGUAUCAUGUCUUUAUUUGCUGUGGUGGUGAUGGUGACUUAAACUCUAAAGUGAUUAUUGCAUAUGGUGUCUCUGACUGCUCUGCUGUCCUGGAUAGCUGCAGGUGGAUGGGCUCAUCAUCUGGGUCUUCAGUUUGUAGGGCAGGGUGUUGCUCUCCUCUAAUAGUGGUAAUAUUAUGAAGAACAACACAUGCCACAGUAAUAUCACAGGCCCUCUCAGGGGUCACCCUGAGGAGACGUAGGUGCUGGAAACGGGCUUUCAGCAGGCCUAUGGUCAUCUCCACCCGGGCGCUGGUCCUGCAGUGAGUCCGGUUGAAGUUCUGUUGGGGGCCUGGUUCAGGGUCAGGGUAUGAGGUCAUCAGCCUGGGUUGGCAUGGUAACCUCUGUCAACCAGCAGAAGGCCAUCAAACUCUCCUGUAAUGUAUAGUGGAUACAUCAGAGUAUAUUAAAGGAGGGAGACAAGAGAAUUCUAUUGUGAAAAUCUUUAGGCUGCUGACCACGUUGCAGUCUGUUGCUCAGGUUAGACUCUCCAUAAAUCCUGGAGUCAUGAACAGACCCAGACCACUUGGCCUCCACAUUAGAAAUGAUGUAUGCAGCAUCACAUAUGAUCUGGACAGUGCAGAGAAUGACAGAUGUUGAACUAUGAUGCAGUCUUUAACAUUUAGAAACAGUAGUCAGUCUACCUGUAGCCUACCUGCACAUUUAUGCUGUGAAUGGACUUCUUGUUCAUGAUGUGAGGGAGCUGUGAUGGGGCAACCCGGUCUCACGGGGAUUCGUGAAACUGUCACGUAAGUUUUAGUUUCGGUUUCGUGCGCACCAACACGAUUUCGUCGUGUUUUUCGUGCCGCUCACCACGAAAUGUUUUUCGCUGUGGUAAUCACAUCUGAAAGUGGUUUAUACCGGCGGAUUCAUGACAAUCUAAGCUGUCCAUCGGCGUAUACUGCUUGUGUGAUCGCGUUUGCGGCCGCCGGCCGCCGGACAUUCUUGAAAUUCCUAUGCAAAUUGGUAA